GUAGUCUCGCACAGAUGCAUAUCAAUAAGCGGAGGAAAAGAAACUAACAAGGAUACCCCUAGUAACGGCGAGUGAAGCGGGAAGAGCUCAAAUUUGAAAUCUUAAAGGGUUUCCCUUUACGAAUUGUAGUUUAAAGAAGUGUUUUCUGUUGAGGUUUUGGUAAAAGUUCUUUGGAAUAGGACAUCAUAGAGGGUGAGAAUCCCGUAUUUGACCUUUACUUUCAACUUUGUGAUACACUUUCAAAGAGUCGGAUAGUUUGGGAAUGCAGUCCAAAAUGGGUGGUAAAUUUCAUCUAAAGCUAAAUAUUGGCGAGAGACCGAUAGCGAACAAGUACCGUGAGGGAAAGAUGAAAAGAACUUUGAAAAGAGAGUUAAACAGUACGUGAAAUUGUCAAAAGGGAAGCGUUUGACACCAGUGUUGUUUUUCUGAAAAUCAAUUAAAGAACUGUUUAUGCUAAGCUGUUUAGACUUUAUCAGCUAACUGUCUAGUUUUGAGCUUUUCUUUAAUGCACUUUUCAGUUAACAAGUCAACAUCAAUUUCUUUUGCUGUAAAAAAGCUUGAGGAAGGUGGCUUGAGAUUCGUCUUAAGUGUUUAUAGCCUCUUGCCUAUGCAGUCGGAGAGAUUGAGGUCUGCAGCGUAGAUCCUUCGGGGCUAAAUGCAUUUGUGCUAAGUUAUAGCAUUUUAUAGACAACUUGUUGACUAUGAUUUGUCUUGUAGCUUACUCGCUUAUGUUAUUUUACCUACGCUUAGGAUGUUGAGUAGCGACAUACGCAC
Molecule: ribosomal RNA, 774 nt
Filed under: uncultured Neocallimastigales
Lineage: Eukaryota; Fungi; Neocallimastigomycota; Neocallimastigomycetes; Neocallimastigales
Description: partial large subunit ribosomal RNA
Rfam family: Eukaryotic large subunit ribosomal RNA
Source: RNAcentral